UACAGAGGGGGCAAGCGUUGUUCGGAAUUACUGGGCGUAAAGGGCGCGUAGGCGGCCUGCUAAGUCGAACGUGAAAUCCCCGGGCUCAACCCGGGAACUGCGUCCGAUACUGGCAGGCUUGAAUCCGGGAGAGGGAUGCGGAAUUCCAGGUGUAGCGGUGAAAUGCGUAGAUAUCUGGAGGAACACCGGUGGCGAAGGCGGCAUCCUGGACCGGCAUUGGCGCUGAGGCGCGAAAGCCAGGGGAGCAAACGGG
This 253-nucleotide ribosomal RNA is filed under the name uncultured bacterium. RNAcentral describes it as "partial 16S ribosomal RNA". It matches the Rfam family "Bacterial small subunit ribosomal RNA", at positions 524 to 776 of the family's 1533-position model. The record is from RNAcentral.